This 903-nucleotide ribosomal RNA is filed under the name uncultured Bacillota bacterium. RNAcentral's name for it is "bacterial SSU rRNA". It matches the Rfam family "Bacterial small subunit ribosomal RNA", at positions 58 to 936 of the family's 1533-position model. The record is from RNAcentral. Lineage: Bacteria; Bacillati; Bacillota.
CAAGUCGAACGCGAAAGUUCCCUUCGGGGAGCAAGUAGAGUGGCGCACGGGUGAGUAACACGUAGGUAAUCUACCUUUGGAUUGGGACUAACACCGAGAAAUCGGUGCUAAUACCGAAUAAUGCAGCGGCACCUAAUGGUGACAGUUGUUAAAGCGGGGGAUCGCAAGACCUCGCGUCUAAAGAGGAGCCUGCGGCGGAUUAGCUAGUUGGUAAGGUAACGGCUUACCAAGGCGAUGAUCCGUAGCCGGCCUGAGAGGGCGGUCGGCCACACUGACACUGACAUACGGGUCAGACUCCUACGGGAGGCAGCAGUCGGGAAUUUUGGGCAAUGGGCGAAAGCCUGACCCAGCAACGCCGCGUGAAGGAUGAAAUCCCUCGGGAUGUAAACUUCGCAAGAACGGGAAGAAUAAGUCGGUGCUAACACCAUCGGCGAUGACGGUACUGUUUGUAAGCUCCGGCUAACUCCGUGCCAGCAGCCGCGGUAAUACGGGGGGAGCAAGCGUUGUUCGGAUUUACUGGGCGUAAAGGGCGCGUAGGCGGCCACCGCAAGUCGACUGUGAAAUCUCCGGGCUUAACUCGGAAAGGUCAGCCGAUACUGCGGGGCUAGAGUGCAGAAGGGGCAACUGGAAUUCUCGGUGUAGCGGUGAAAUGCGUAGAUAUCGAGAGGAACACCUGCGGCGAAGGCGGGUUGCUGGGCUGACACUGACGCUGAUUGUGCGAAAGCUAGGGGAGCGAACGGGAUUAGAUACCCCGGUAGUCCUAGCCUUAAACGAUGAAUGCUUGGUGUCUGGGGUUUUAUAGUCCCCGGGUGCCGUCGCUAACGCUUUAAGCAUUCCGCCUGGGGAGUACGGUCGCAAGACUGAAACUCAAAGGAAUUGACGGGGACCCGCACAAGCGGUGGA